This 468-nucleotide ribosomal RNA is filed under the name uncultured bacterium. RNAcentral describes it as "partial 16S ribosomal RNA". It matches the Rfam family "Bacterial small subunit ribosomal RNA", at positions 28 to 507 of the family's 1533-position model. The record is from RNAcentral.
GAUGAACGCUGGCGGCGUGCUUAACACAUGCAAGUCGAACAGAAAGGCCCAAGCUUGCUUGGGUACUCGAGUGGCGAACGGGUGAGUAACACGUGGGUGAUCUGCCCUGCACUUCGGGAUAAGCCUGGGAAACUGGGUCUAAUACCGGAUAGGACCACGUCUUGGAUGUUGUGGUGGAAAGUUUUUUCGGUGUGGGAUGAGCUCGCGGCCUAUCAGCUUGUUGGUGGGGUAAUGGCCUACCAAGGCGUCGACGGGUAGCCGGCCUGAGAGGGUGUACGGCCACAUUGGGACUGAGAUACGGCCCAGACUCCUACGGGAGGCAGCAGUGGGGAAUAUUGCACAAUGGGCGCAAGCCUGAUGCAGCGACGCCGCGUGGGGGAUGACGGCCUUCGGGUUGUAAACUCCUUUCGCUAGGGACGAAGCGUUUUUGUGACGGUACCUGGAGAAGAAGCACCGGCUAACUACGUG